Molecule: long non-coding RNA, 674 nt
Organism: Mercurialis annua (annual mercury)
Lineage: Eukaryota; Viridiplantae; Streptophyta; Magnoliopsida; Malpighiales; Euphorbiaceae
Exons: 3
Source: RefSeq, a predicted model, not a curated record
AAAUUGGAUUUCAGCUCGGUACAAAAACGACUUGGUUAAUUCUAAGAUUAUUACCUAAGGAUUUUAAAUUAGAAAUUGAAUGGUGAAAGUUAACAACUUAAAGGACCUAAAGAAGCAUUUUGCCAAGCCAUUUGUGUCAUUUACAUAUGAAUAUUUGUUCUUCAAAUAUUCAUUUCCAGAAAACAUAAAGAGAAGAAGAACUCCAUCUUCUCUAAAUUUCUUAAAACUUCUAUUCAUCACCAAAGCUUCAUUUCUUGUCCGUUUUGAGCGAUUUUCGCGGUGUUGGAACGAGGGAAGGAUUUCCUACUGAUCUAAGGCUUCAAUUCAAGAUUCUACGAACCAUAUGACUGAUGAUUUGAAGGAAGUGGGUGAUUAAACGACGUGCCGUUCAUUUUAUUUGCUUGUUAUUAUAUUUGGAUUAAGCGAUCGAGUGUUUUCUUUCAGGAUUAAUAUACGACGAUGUGGUUGAGCUUCCAUUCGUUGUUUCGGAAGUCUCAGUUAUGGGAGGUCUUAUUCUUCUUAGAGCUGCAGUAGUCAUGAUAGUAGACCUAGCUAGUAGCAUACGAUUUAUGUUUAUAUUAUGCCCUGCUAAAAUGAUGUAUUUUGGAAAAAUGAAUUAUCCAGGGAUUUAAUAUAUGGUUAAUUGGUAUUUUAUACAGAGUGGUUUGUGUGUU